This 305-nucleotide ribosomal RNA is filed under the name uncultured bacterium. RNAcentral describes it as "bacterial SSU rRNA". It matches the Rfam family "Bacterial small subunit ribosomal RNA", at positions 336 to 654 of the family's 1533-position model. The record is from RNAcentral.
CCCCUACGGGAGGCAGCAGUGAGGAAUAUUGGUCAAUGGGCGGGAGCCUGAACCAGCCAAGCCGCGUGAGGGAAGAAGGUACAGCGUAUCAUAAACUUCUUUUCUCAGGGACGAAGCAAGUGACGGUACCUGAGGAAUAAGCCACGGCUAACUACGUGCCAGCAGCCGCGGUAAUACGUAGGUGGCAAGCGUUAUCCGGAUUUACUGGGUGUAAAGGGCGUGUAGGCGGGAAAGCAAGUCAGAUGUGAAAACCAUGGGCUCAACCUGUGGCCUGCAUUUGAAACUGUUUUUCUUGAGUACUGGAG